AGACUGGCGAGGCUACCUCCAAGGCGAUGAUGGACAUCUUCAACACCCAAGGUUCUCGUACACAACAGCAUCGUCCAGGCCUCCAGAGUACUCACUCUAUCGCCUGCUGUACGGACGGGAGUCGCAGUUGUUUACUGAGGUGAGACUGAACAUGGACAAGGCUCUUGAGAAAAAGGAGAGCCACCCGAGGAGAAUCAAUUGGCUUGGAAGAAAGGAAAAUGAUACCUGGGAAAGCUUGAUGCUCUUUUGCUCCUCGCUGGGGUCACCAUCCGUUUAAGGACCUAGGGGUUCUGCCUAACACCCAGACCUGGAUCCACCUGAUGUCCUCCAUUACCAACCACCCUCCAACUUUUCAUUACAUCAGCUACUGUUAUUGUCAUGUUGUCAAUAUCUGCUAAGAAAGAGCAAGACAAAUAUCAUACUGGCCACAUAAUGUGAGCUGCACAGAUUAGCUAAAAACACUAGCACUGUAAACCCUCAGAACAAAGAGGGCAGCAGCGCCUGGACUUUGCAGUUUCCCUCUUCGAGUCCACCUUCCAAGACUGACUACAUGUUGAAAACAAGUGACAGGCUUCCAACCUUGCAGCACCCAAGCGACAAACUCCCAUCCGCGCAGCACCCAAGUGACAACCUUACAUCGGCAGAGCACCCACCUCCUCUAUAUUCCACACACCAGAAUUCAGUAUUUCAGUCUUUCAUUGCCAUGUGAGUGAGUGUACAAGAAAAUCAGAAAGUAAGUUGACACACAUGUACCAACAAUAUAUAUUUUUAAUGUAUUUAAAUCUAAAAUAUUGCUGGAUUGGUUUUCACAGAUGUUUCAUAAGGUGUUCGUUAUUGUAAAUUGUUACAUAUCCCUUGAUGGUAUUUGUUCAACAUUAUGAAUUGUUGUAUCAUAAGAUAUUCAACCACAAGGGUGUACUAAUGAGCUAGGCUCCCAACAUUGAAGGUCCUCAAGAACAGUGGCCUCCUUCAUUCUUAAAUUUAAGAAGUUUUGAACCACCAAGACUCUUCCUAGAGCUGGCCGCCCGGCCAAACUGAGCAAUCGAGGGCGAAGGGCCUUGGUCAGGGAGGUGACCAAGAACCCGAUAGUCACUCUGACAGAGAUCCAGAGUUCCUCUGUGGGAAUGGGAAAACGUUCCAGAAGGACAACCAAAAAAUGGUGUAUUGUGGGUAUUAAUCCAAUUUAAUCCAUUUUAGAAUAAGGCUGUAAUGUAACAAAAUGUGGAAAAAGUCAAGGGGUCUGAAUACUUUCUGAAUGCACUGACUGAUAUAGUUCCAGUCCUCUAGGGCUGCACUGUCUCUGUUUUUUGUCCUUGGCUAAUAGGUGAAUCAGAGACUGAGUUAUAGAGGUGUUUGAGAUCUCCCUAGCCAAUCAUUGACAUUAAAUGAUCAACUACACCCUUUUUACA
Molecule: long non-coding RNA, 1409 nt
Organism: Oncorhynchus gorbuscha (pink salmon)
Lineage: Eukaryota; Metazoa; Chordata; Actinopteri; Salmoniformes; Salmonidae
Exons: 3
Source: RefSeq, a predicted model, not a curated record